This 434-nucleotide ribosomal RNA is filed under the name uncultured bacterium. RNAcentral describes it as "bacterial SSU rRNA". It matches the Rfam family "Bacterial small subunit ribosomal RNA", at positions 142 to 573 of the family's 1533-position model. The record is from RNAcentral.
CCUUUUAAAGCGAAAGAGGGAUUAAUACUCCGUAACAUGUACAUGUGGCAUCACAAGUACAUUAUAGCUCCAGCGGUUAAAGAUGGGCGUGCGCCAGAUUAGAUAGNUGGCGGGGUAACGGCCCGCCAAGUCUGCGAUCAGUAACUGGUGUGAGAGCACGACCAGUCACACGGGCACUGAGACACGGGNCCGACUCCUACGGGAGGCAGCAGUAAGGAAUAUUGGUCAAUGGACGCAAGUCUGAACCAGCCAUGCCGCGNGGAGGAUUAAGGCCCUCUGGGUUGUAAACUCCUUUUAUUCUGGGAAGAAAUACCAGUUUUCUAANUGGUUUGACGGUACCAGAGGAAUAAGCACCGGCUAACUCCGUGCCAGCAGCCGCGGNAAUACGGAGGGUGCAAGCNUUAUCCGGAUUCANUGGGNUUAAAGGGCGCGUA